RNAcentral lists this unclassified non-coding RNA (323 nucleotides) under soil metagenome. RNAcentral describes it as "partial contains 5.8S ribosomal RNA, internal transcribed spacer 2, and large subunit ribosomal RNA". The stretch from base 1 to 120 matches the Rfam family "5.8S ribosomal RNA", at positions 35 to 154 of the family's 154-position model. The record is from RNAcentral.
GAUGAAGAACGUAGCGAAAUGCGAUAAGUAAUGCGAAUUGCAGAAUUCAGUGAGUCAUCGAAUCUUUGAACGCACAUUGCGCCCUGUGGUAUUCCGCAGGGCAUGCCUGUUCGAGCGUCAUUUCAACCCUCAAGCUCUGCUUGGUGUUGGGCCCUGCCCGCUGCGGCCGGCCCUAAAGACAGUGGCGGUGCCGCCUGGCCCUGAGCGUAGUACAUCUCUCGCUCCAGUGCCCGGUGGUAGCCUGCCAGAACCCCAACUCUCGUGGUUGACCUCGGAUCAGGUAGGGAUACCCGCUGACCUUAAGCAUAUCAAUAAGCGGAGGA